UUGAGUGGUUUCACUUCCAAAGGUUAACGAAAAAUUAUUUUAUUAAUUUUGAUUAUUUUAGUAAGUUUUUUUGUGAAAUUUUUGUUUAAUUUAUUGUUUUUUGAAAUGAUUUGUUUGUUAAGCAGGGUGUAGUAGUUGAUUUUAAGAAUCAAAUACUGCGGUUGCAAAAGGAAAAUCAAAUUCUUAAUGUGAAGGUGCAAAAGUGAACUCUAUAAUUUUCUACGUAUUUUUCAUGUCUUCAAUUUUUAUUUUAGCAUUUACAAUUAUUUCAAAUUGUUUAUAGUUAUUUUGAAUUUUUUUUGUUUUUUUACAGAAUGAUGAACUUGAGUCUCUUCCCUAGAAGAAUCAUUGGAUUGAGUAAAGUUUUUUAUUUUAUUUUGCAUUGUGGUUGUAUAUUGAUAUUGAUUGAGUAAAGUUUUAUUUUCAUUUUUUUGUGUUGUAUGUGUAUUUAAUAAUAAUGUGCUAUAUCAUUCCUUAAACACAAAGAAUGUAGAAUAACAUAUUUUAACAAUAAAAUAACAGAUUUUGACAAACUGAAGUUUAGCCAAAAAAUUAACUGACUCAAGAUAAGUAAUUGCGCAUAACGGAA
This 589-nucleotide long non-coding RNA is filed under the name Lathyrus oleraceus (garden pea). RNAcentral describes it as "Pisum sativum (pea) long non-coding RNA (PSAT_LNC039566)". Lineage: Eukaryota; Viridiplantae; Streptophyta; Magnoliopsida; Fabales; Fabaceae. The record is from RNAcentral.